CAGCGGGCCGCCGACAGCUGACGGCGCACAGCAGCUCCGCUCCCCGGCCGCUCAGCGCUCGCUCCGCACGCGCAGGGUCUGAACGCCACUUGACCUGUACCUUCCCCCUUCAGAUCGUCUUCCUCUCGGACUCUUUCGCCUUCCAGUUUACAUUGGCAGACUCCAGCAACAUGUUGGACGCGCAGUCGCAGCUGAAGGCGCACGCGCAAACGGCGCGCAGCUGGUGGCGGCGUUCCACGCAUGCGCGGAAUCCGGGGGCGCAUGCGCGUGGCGGCGCUGUCAGCGGCAGCUGGUGGCGCGUCUGGAGGCUGGCCGACGCGCUGCUUCACAACGGCUGCUGACUUCUCAGCAGUCAGCAGCCAGCCACCGCAGCCGCCACAGUCUCAGGGCAACCUGUCAGCUCCGCGCCUCCCUCAGCUAAAUAGCCACUCUUCCUACUUUCUCUCCUCGCCAGCGUCGCGAAUAUCGCCGCUGGCUAGACGGAAACGUACCGUAGUCCGGGAAGUCCAGUCCACUUUCAUCCUUUGUUACCGACACAGUUCUGCCUUUCAACAUUGUACUGCUCUCGGAUUACACUCCGAGAGAAACUGGAGAUUAUUGACAAAUAAGUAUUCAUAGGACAUUAGCUUGAACAGGCUGCGAUUAAAACGGUAUACUCUCUCAUAGUUCAGUUCAUAGAGAGAGAGACACUAAACUAUUUGCCUCUAAGGCAGUAAUAUCACUCUAAUUAAAUAACUUGAAUGAAAUCAAAUUUUAAAAUAUAGCUCUCCUGUUAGCUAUAACUAAAUUGCCGAUUAGUCAAAGGUAAAAGAAUGCCAUAACUAAUUCUUCCAUAUAGUUUUGUCGAGAGUUACGAAAGGCCUCGUGGAAGUUUUUAGAAAAAAGUAUUUCAUUCUUUUUCGUAUUCACUAUUGUCGGCCUUUCGCAGUGAGUUUUCUUAGUAGUAUAAUUUUUUGAAAAGAGAGAAAGAAUUCACUUGUUCCAGAGGGCAAUACUUGAAACAUUGUGAUAGAUUUAUUGUAAUAUAUACAGCAGAUCUAUAUGUACAUAAUACAGAUGUUAGAUUAUUUUAGCUUUUUAAAAUUAGCACAUUGUAAUGUUAUAUAAUAUUGUACGUUAUUAUGUAAUGAAGUUUGAUUAACAUUAAAACAUUAUUUCUUUUCAGUA
This is a long non-coding RNA of Schistocerca cancellata (South American locust), 1167 nucleotides long. RefSeq lists it as uncharacterized. The transcript has 3 exons. The record is from RefSeq and is a predicted model, not a curated record. Lineage: Eukaryota; Metazoa; Arthropoda; Insecta; Orthoptera; Acrididae.